Non-coding RNA from Pantoea sp. At-9b, 118 nucleotides. The record is from Rfam. NCBI's taxonomy places the organism in Bacteria, Pseudomonadati, Pseudomonadota, Gammaproteobacteria, Enterobacterales, Erwiniaceae.
GGCGCUUCAGGUGGCUCUGGGCCGAAAGUUCUGACGACAGACCAGCAGCGGGAAGCCGUUAAGUUUAUGUGUGAUGCGACCGGUCUGUCGCAACGUCGUGCCUGCAGGCUUACAGGUU